UACACAUGCAAGUCGAACGGCAGCGGGGGAAAGCUUGCUUUCCUGCCGGCGAGUGGCGAACGGGUGAGUAAUACAUCGGAACGUGCCCUGUAGUGGGGGAUAACUAGUCGAAAGAUUAGCUAAUACCGCAUACGACCUGAGGGUGAAAGUGGGGGACCGCAAGGCCUCAUGCUAUAGGAGCGGCCGAUGUCUGAUUAGCUAGUUGGUGGGGUAAAGGCCUACCAAGGCGACGAUCAGUAGCUGGUCUGAGAGGACGAUCAGCCACACUGGGACUGAGACACGGCCCAGACUCCUACGGGAGGCAGCAGUGGGGAAUUUUGGACAAUGGGCGAAAGCCUGAUCCAGCAAUGCCGCGUGUGUGAAGAAGGCCUUCGGGUUGUAAAGCACUUUUGUCCGGAAAGAAAUGGCUCUGGUUAAUACCCGGAGUUGAUGACGGUACCGGAAGAAUAAGGACCGGCUAACUACGUGCCAGCAGCCGCGGUAAUACGUAGGGUCCAAGCGUUAAUCGGAAUUACUGGGCGUAAAGCGUGCGCAGGCGGUUGUGCAAGACCGAUGUGAAAUCCCCGGGCUUAACCUGGGAAUUGCAUUGGUGACUGCACGGCUAGAGUGUGUCAGAGGGAGGUAGAAUUCCACGUGUAGCAGUGAAAUGCGUAGAGAUGUGGAGGAAUACCGAUGGCGAAGGCAGCCUCCUGGGAUAACACUGACGCUCAUGCACGAAAGCGUGGGGAGCAAACAGGAUUAGAUACCCUGGUAGUCCACGCCCUAAACGGGAUGGUCAAC
Molecule: ribosomal RNA, 780 nt
Filed under: Ralstonia sp. BAB-3794
Lineage: Bacteria; Pseudomonadati; Pseudomonadota; Betaproteobacteria; Burkholderiales; Burkholderiaceae
Description: bacterial SSU rRNA
Rfam family: Bacterial small subunit ribosomal RNA
Source: RNAcentral